UUUACUUUGUUGUCAUAUUCUCUUUUGAUGACAUUAGAGAGACAGGAAAUCAAUGGGAAACUCAUGUGUCCCACCUCAACUCUGUCCAGUCCGUUUUAAUAUUCAUUAAUUUAAUUCACUGUAUUGUGGAGGAAUUUCUGCAGGAAGGUGAUGCAUUGAAGGGUUGCUGACCACAGAUAUCUGCAAGAAAA
Long non-coding RNA from Ctenopharyngodon idella (grass carp), 191 nucleotides. RefSeq lists it as uncharacterized. The transcript has 2 exons. The record is from RefSeq and is a predicted model, not a curated record. NCBI's taxonomy places the organism in Eukaryota, Metazoa, Chordata, Actinopteri, Cypriniformes, Xenocyprididae.